This 374-nucleotide ribosomal RNA is filed under the name uncultured bacterium. RNAcentral describes it as "bacterial SSU rRNA". It matches the Rfam family "Bacterial small subunit ribosomal RNA", at positions 355 to 746 of the family's 1533-position model. The record is from RNAcentral.
UAGGGAAUAUUAGUAAUGGGCGAAAGCCUGAACUAGCAACGCCGCGUGUGCGAAGAAGGCCUUCGGGUUGUAAAGCACUUUUUGAGAGGAUGAGGAAGGACGGUACUCUCAGAAUAAGUCUCGGCUAACUACGUGCCAGCAGCCGCGGUAACACGUAGGAGGCGAACGUUAUCCGGAUUUACUGGGCGUAAAGCGCGUGUAGGUGGUUUGGUAAGUAGGGCGUGAAAGCUCCUGGCUCAACUGGGAGAGGCCGUUCUAAACUGCCGAACUAGAGGAUGGUAGAGGGAGGUGGAAUUCCGGGUGUAGCGGGGGAAUGCGCAGAUAUCCGGAGGAACACCAGUGGCGAAAGCGGACUCCUGGACCAUUCCUGACAC